RNAcentral lists this ribosomal RNA (465 nucleotides) under Vreelandella stevensii. RNAcentral describes it as "partial 16S ribosomal RNA". It matches the Rfam family "Bacterial small subunit ribosomal RNA", at positions 338 to 795 of the family's 1533-position model. Lineage: Bacteria; Pseudomonadati; Pseudomonadota; Gammaproteobacteria; Oceanospirillales; Halomonadaceae. The record is from RNAcentral.
CCUACGGGUGGCAGCAGUGGGGAAUAUUGGACAAUGGGGGCAACCCUGAUCCAGCCAUGCCGCGUGUGUGAAGAAGGCCCUCGGGUUGUAAAGCACUUUCAGUGAGGAAGAACGCCUGGUGGUUAAUACCCAUCAGGAAAGACAUCACUCACAGAAGAAGCACCGGCUAACUCCGUGCCAGCAGCCGCGGUAAUACGGAGGGUGCGAGCGUUAAUCGGAAUUACUGGGCGUAAAGCGCGCGUAGGUGGCUUGAUAAGCCGGUUGUGAAAGCCCCGGGCUCAACCUGGGAACGGCAUCCGGAACUGUCAAGCUAGGGUGCAGGAGAGGAAGGUAGAAUUCCCGGUGUAGCGGUGAAAUGCGUAGAGAUCGGGAGGAAUACCAGUGGCGAAGGCGGCCUUCUGGACUGACACUGACACUGAGGUGCGAAAGCGUGGGUAGCAAACAGGAUUAGAUACCCUUGUAGUA